GAUGAACGCUGGCGGCGUGCUUAAUACAUGCAAGUCGAACGCUGAAGCCCAGCUUGCUUGGUGGGUUAGAGUCGAACGGGUGAGUAAAACGCGAGUAAACUGCCCUUAACACUGGGGUAAGACUGGGGAACUGGGUCUAAUAUCCGAUAGAAGCGUCCACCGUACGGUGGGUGUUGGAAAGAUUUAUAGUUUUUGGAUGGACUCGCGGCCUAUCAGCUUGUUGGUGAGGUGAUGGGGUAACAAGGCGACGAGGGGUAGACGGCCUGCGAGGGUGACCGGCCACACUGGGCCUGAGGAAGGGGCCAGAGUCCUACGGGAGGAAGCAGUGGGAGAUAUUGCGAGAUGGGCGGAAGCAGGAAGCAGCGACGCCGCGUGGGAGAUGACGGCCUUCAGGGUGUAAACCGCGUGCAGUAGGGAAGAAGCGAAAGUGACGGUACCUGAAGAAGAAGCACCGGCUAACUACGUG
RNAcentral lists this ribosomal RNA (466 nucleotides) under uncultured bacterium. RNAcentral describes it as "partial 16S ribosomal RNA". It matches the Rfam family "Bacterial small subunit ribosomal RNA", at positions 28 to 507 of the family's 1533-position model. The record is from RNAcentral.